AUAGCUGGGGCUCUUGAUUCAGCACUUAGUGUUGCUGGUCUCGUCCCGGUGGCCUCUGACCAGAGGAAGCCUCAAGACUUGAUUUUGAAGCAGAGUAUUUCUCUUUUAGAGUGCUUAAGAUCUUGCUGGAGAGAUGAUGUUCUUGUCCUAUCUUGCUCAGACAGGUUCUUGCGUUUGUCUUUGCAACUUAUGUCCAGAUUCUCAAGCUGGUUAUCUGCCGGAUUGGCUGCUCGUAAAGCUGGUAAUGUGGGCUCAAACCCAGGAUUUGAAUGGGCUAUUUCUGCAGUCCCUGACGACUUAGUAUACAUAAUUCACGAUUUGAACCGUUUGGGGGAGGAAGUGUGUGGUGAUUACCUUGAACACAUACUUGAGUUGCUCAAGUCAUGCCCUGCUGAAGUUUGUGAUUUUGUAAACCAGAGUAUUUUACAAGGUGGGAAGUCCCUGAAGGGUCUUUUACCAAUUGUGAUGAGUGCAAUAAUUGAGACAAUAGUUGAGAAAUGUGUAGAGGACUUGAGGCAGUUGAAAGGGAUAACUGCUACCUACAG
This 545-nucleotide unclassified non-coding RNA is filed under the name Hevea brasiliensis (rubber tree). The record is from RNAcentral. Lineage: Eukaryota; Viridiplantae; Streptophyta; Magnoliopsida; Malpighiales; Euphorbiaceae.